Molecule: ribosomal RNA, 1438 nt
Filed under: uncultured organism
Description: 16S ribosomal RNA
Rfam family: Bacterial small subunit ribosomal RNA
Source: RNAcentral
GCUCAGGAUGAACGCUAGCUACAGGCUUAACACAUGCAAGUCGAGGGGCAGCAUGGUCUUAGCUUGCUAAGGCCGAUGGCGACCGGCGCACGGGUGAGUAACACGUAUCCAACCUGCCGUCUACUCUUGGACAGCCUUCUGAAAGGAAGAUUAAUACAAGAUGGCAUCAUGAGUCCGCAUGUUCACAUGAUUAAAGGUAUUCCGGUAGACGAUGGGGAUGCGUUCCAUUAGAUAGUAGGCGGGGUAACGGCCCACCUAGUCUUCGAUGGAUAGGGGUUCUGAGAGGAAGGUCCCCCACAUUGGAACUGAGACACGGUCCAAACUCCUACGGGAGGCAGCAGUGAGGAAUAUUGGUCAAUGGGCGCAGGCCUGAACCAGCCAAGUAGCGUGAAGGAUGACUGCCCUAUGGGUUGUAAACUUCUUUUAUAAAGGAAUAAAGUCGGGUAUGGAUACCCGUUUGCAUGUACUUUAUGAAUAAGGAUCGGCUAACUCCGUGCCAGCAGCCGCGGUAAUACGGAGGAUCCGAGCGUUAUCCGGAUUUAUUGGGUUUAAAGGGAGCGUAGAUGGAUGUUUAAGUCAGUUGUGAAAGUUUGCAGCUCAACCGUAAAAUUGCAGUUGAUACUGGAUAUCUUGAGUGCAGUUGAGGCAGGCGGAAUUCGUGGUGUAGCGGUGAAAUGCUUAGAUAUCACGAAGAACUCCGAUUGCGAAGGCAGCCUGCUAAGCUGCAACUGACAUUGAGGCUCGAAAGUGUGGGUAUCAAACAGGAUUAGAUACCCUGGUAGUCCACACGGUAAACGAUGAAUACUCGCUGUUUGCGAUAUACAGCAAGCGGCCAAGCGAAAGCGUUAAGUAUUCCACCUGGGGAGUACGCCGGCAACGGUGAAACUCAAAGGAAUUGACGGGGGCCCGCACAAGCGGAGGAACAUGUGGUUUAAUUCGAUGAUACGCGAGGAACCUUACCCGGGCUUAAAUUGCAGAUGAAUUACGGUGAAAGCCGUAAGCCGCAAGGCAUCUGUGAAGGUGCUGCAUGGUUGUCGUCAGCUCGUGCCGUGAGGUGUCGGCUUAAGUGCCAUAACGAGCGCAACCCUUGUUGUCAGUUACUAACAGGUUCCGCUGAGGACUCUGACAAGACUGCCAUCGUAAGAUGUGAGGAAGGUGGGGAUGACGUCAAAUCAGCACGGCCCUUACGUCCGGGGCUACACACGUGUUACAAUGGGGGGUACAGAGGGCCGCUACCACGCGAGUGGAUGCCAAUCCCCAAAACCUCUCUCAGUUCGGACUGGAGUCUGCAACCCGACUCCACGAAGCUGGAUUCGCUAGUAAUCGCGCAUCAGCCACGGCGCGGUGAAUACGUUCCCGGGCCUUGUACACACCGCCCGUCAAGCCAUGGGAGCCGGGGGUACCUGAAGUGCGUAACCGCGAGGAGCGCCCUAGGGUA